CAUUAAGUGGCUGAAAUAUAAGCCCUGGUCUCUUAAACCACAAUAUGGUAAUUAAUAACUACCCUUAAUGA
This 71-nucleotide transfer RNA is filed under the name Neocentrocnemis stali. Its description in RNAcentral is "tRNA-Lys". The record is from RNAcentral. Lineage: Eukaryota; Metazoa; Arthropoda; Insecta; Hemiptera; Reduviidae.